This 443-nucleotide ribosomal RNA is filed under the name uncultured bacterium. RNAcentral describes it as "partial 16S ribosomal RNA". It matches the Rfam family "Bacterial small subunit ribosomal RNA", at positions 338 to 795 of the family's 1533-position model. The record is from RNAcentral.
CCUACGGGAGGCAGCAGUGGGGAAUCUUGGGCAAUGGAGGCAACUCUUACCCAGCAAUGCCGCGUGAAUGAAGAAGGUCUUCGGAUUGUAAAGUUCUUUAAUUGGGGACGAAAAAAAUGACGGUACCCAAGGAAUAAGCCCCGGCUAACUACGUGCCAGCAGCCGCGGUAAUACGUAGGGGGCAAGCGUUAUCCGGAUUUACUGGGUGUAAAGGGAGCGUAGACGGCUGUGCAAGUCUGAAGUGAAAGCCCAGGGCUCAACCCUGGGACUGCUUUGGAAACUGUGGAGCUAGAGUGCUGGAGAGGUAAGUGGAAUUCCUAGUGUAGCGGUGAAAUGCGUAGAUAUUAGGAGGAACACCAGUGGCGAAGGCGGCUUACUGGACAGUAACUGACGUUGAGGCUCGAAAGCGUGGGGAGCAAACAGGAUUAGAUACCCCUGUAGUC